RNAcentral lists this ribosomal RNA (251 nucleotides) under uncultured bacterium. Its description in RNAcentral is "partial 16S ribosomal RNA". It matches the Rfam family "Bacterial small subunit ribosomal RNA", at positions 81 to 334 of the family's 1533-position model. The record is from RNAcentral.
UAAGUGAUGGCGACCGGCGCACGGGUGAGUAACACGUAUCCAACCUGCCGAUAACUCGGGGAUAGCCUUUCGAAAGAAAGAUUAAUACCCGAUGGUAUAAUAAAGCCGCAUGGUUUACUUAUUAAAGAAUUUCGGUUAUCGAUGGGGAUGCGUUCCAUUAGGCAGUUGGUGAGGUAACGGCUCACCAAACCUUCGAUGGAUAGGGGUUCUGAGAGGAAGGUCCCCCACAUUGGAACUGAGACACGGUCCAA